RNAcentral lists this long non-coding RNA (980 nucleotides) under Homo sapiens (human). RNAcentral's name for it is "HSALNT0325820". Lineage: Eukaryota; Metazoa; Chordata; Mammalia; Primates; Hominidae. The record is from RNAcentral.
GUGAGCCCACCAAGAGUUGCUUCAUUAGAACAAAAGAUGAUCCUAUCAUCCAGGAAAUUGCCAAGGAUUUAGGAGAUCUGUGUCAGGAACUGAGGUCAAAGUCCAAAUAUUGGAACAGAAGAUUCUCUUAGUACCCCUAUCUAUAAAAGUUUCAGGAGCCGUAUGUCAAGAACUGAAGGAAAAAAACAAAUAGAUAUUUCUUCUUAUAUUACAACAGUACAGAUAUUCAACAAGGGCAGUCCUGAACAAAAUUUUAAAAAAUAUAUCUGAAAAUACAAAGAACCAAGAAUAGUGAAGAUACCAUUAGAGAAGAAUAACAGAGCUAAUGAACUUUUCUUAAUCAUGAGAUUUGUCAUCAAGGAAUGAGUUAAUGAGUGUGGAAAGUCUGACAAUAGGGAAGGAAAAGCAGAGAAUAUUCAAGAAAGCAAGCCACUGGAAGAGAUGGUAGGGAAGGCAGAGAUAAGAAAAUGAGGUGUUGAUGGAUUAGGACAUUCCUCUCUGGCUGAUUCCUGAUUAAAUUUGGACAAAGGACCUGACAGCUGUCAUGUCUCUGUUUCCCAUAACUCUUCCCUCAAAUCAGAAAGCACAGAGUCUGCUACAUGAGAAAAGUGUGGAGAGCCAUCUUGUGCAGCAAUGAAGGUCACUGUGCAAGUACACCUAAUUACAUCAUCCGAGGCCAUAAAGAACUGAGUGUGGACUUUGGUUAAAAUACUUAAAAUACCUGCACACUUAGUACAUGAAAUCUGGCUUCUCCACAAGCUGCAAAAGUGACCAGCCCAUACCUAUUGCUUCAUUAGGAAUUUCCUAUGACCAGUUGACAAAGGAAGAGGAGACUUGAGCCUGGUUUAUACUUGGUCCUAUGUGACAUGCUGGCACUCCUGAAAGUGUACAGCUGAAGCACUACAGCCCCUUUCUGGGAUAUCCCUGAAGGACACUGAUGAAGGGAAAGCCUUCCAGUGAGCAGAAACACCUUAUAUGAC